AACACAUGCAAGUGGAGCGACGAACCGGGCUUCGCCCCGGGGCAAAGCCGCGAACGGGUGAGUAACACGUGGGUAACCUGCCCUGUUGAUUGGGACAACCCCGGGAAACCGGGGCUAAUACCAAAUGUGGUCGGCGCCACAUCAGUGGUGCUAGGAAAGGAGGCUUCGGCUUCCGCAACGGGAUGGGCCCGCGGCCCAUUAGCUUGUUGGUGGGGUAAUGGCCCACCAAGGCUUCGAUGGGUAGCUGGUCUGAGAGGACGAUCAGCCACACUGGGACUGAGACACGGCCCAGACUCCUACGGGAGGCAGCAGUGGGGAAUCUUGCGCAAUGCACGAAAGUGUGACGCAGCAACGCCGCGUGAGGGAAGACGGCCUUCGGGUUGUAAACCUCUUUCAGUUGGGACGAAGCCACGACGGUUAAUACCCGUUUGUGGUGACGGUACCUUCAGAAGAAGCCCC
RNAcentral lists this ribosomal RNA (459 nucleotides) under grassland soil clone sl1_017. RNAcentral's name for it is "bacterial SSU rRNA". It matches the Rfam family "Bacterial small subunit ribosomal RNA", at positions 50 to 494 of the family's 1533-position model. The record is from RNAcentral.